GAUGAACGCUGGGCGGCGUGCCUCAAACAUGCAAGUCGAGCGAGGCUAUGAAUUACCGCAAGGUAAGGCAUAGCCUAGCGGCGAACGGGUGAGUAACACGUGGGGUAACCUACCUGGAAGACAGGGAUAACGAUUCGAAAGGGUCGCUAAUACCUGAUAAUAUCCAUCUGCCGGAUGGCGGAGGGAAGAAAGGGGAAACCCGCUUUCAGAUGGGCCCGCGUCCCAUCAGCUAGUUGGUAAGGUAAAGGCUUACCAAGGCGACGACGGGUAGCCGGUCUGAGAGGAUGGUACGGCCACACUGGGACUGAGAUACGGCCCAGACUCCUACGGGAGGCAGCAGUUGGGAAUCUUAGGCAAUGGACGAAAGUCUGACCUAGCGACGCCGCGUGAGGGAAGAAGGCCUUCGGGUUGUAAACCUCUGUCAUGGGGGAAGAAGGAAGUGACGGUACCCCAAGAGGAAGCCCCUGCUAACUACGUG
RNAcentral lists this ribosomal RNA (478 nucleotides) under uncultured bacterium. Its description in RNAcentral is "bacterial SSU rRNA". It matches the Rfam family "Bacterial small subunit ribosomal RNA", at positions 28 to 507 of the family's 1533-position model. The record is from RNAcentral.